CAAGGUCGCACAAUGCAACAAGAAGAAGGGACCGUGAUGUCUGCGCUAGGUCUGUUCCAGUCGUCUAUGAAAGGAAGGACUAUCCCAGGCUAGUCCUAUUAAUUAUACUCCUACUAAGCAGUACUCCCAUUGUGAGGAAAGAACAAUAGCAAGAUCAUACAGAUGGCAUCACGACCUUUCCUUCGCCGAUGUAGCUGGUCACACUACAUUUAGACCUGAUCGUGCCUGCGGAGCGAUCUAAGGGGGCUGAAGUUUCAGAACUUCGAAGAAUGAUCCGAGGGGUUGGCGUGACUUUGGGCCGACUCAAAGACAACCCUAUGGCACGUGCCUCUUCCAAAGGGGGUAACUUAGGCAAGGUAUUAGAAGUAGGAUCUCCG
Molecule: long non-coding RNA, 377 nt
Filed under: Amborella trichopoda
Lineage: Eukaryota; Viridiplantae; Streptophyta; Magnoliopsida; Amborellales; Amborellaceae
Description: long non-coding RNA (ATRI_LNC002389)
Source: RNAcentral